AAAUUUCAUCGUGAUGGGGAUAGAUCAUUGCAAUUGUUGGUCUUCAACGAGGAAUGCCUAGUAAGCGCGAGUCAUCAGCUCGCGUUGACUACGUCCCUGCCCUUUGUACACACCGCCCGUCGCUCCUACCGAUUGAAUGGUCCGGUGAAGUGUUCGGAUCGCGGCGACGNGGGCGGUUCGCCGCCCCCGACGUCGCGAGAAGUCCAUUGAACCUUAUCAUUUAGAGGAAGGAGAAGUCGUAACAAGGUUUCCGUAGGUGAACCUGCGGAAGGAUCAUUG
This 279-nucleotide ribosomal RNA is filed under the name Gaudinia fragilis. Its description in RNAcentral is "partial 18S ribosomal RNA". It matches the Rfam family "Eukaryotic small subunit ribosomal RNA", at positions 1557 to 1831 of the family's 1831-position model. Lineage: Eukaryota; Viridiplantae; Streptophyta; Magnoliopsida; Poales; Poaceae. The record is from RNAcentral.